GUCAGAGGCGAUGAAGGACGUGCUAAUCUGCGAUAAGCGUCGGUAAGGUGAUAUGAACCGUUAUAACCGGCGAUUUCCGAAUGGGGAAACCCAGUGUGUUUCGACACACUAUCAUUAACUGAAUCCAUAGGUUAAUGAGGCGAACCGGGGGAACUGAAACAUCUAAGUACCCCGAGGAAAAGAAAUCAACCGAGAUUCCCCCAGUAGCGGCGAGCGAACGGGGAGGAGCCCAGAGCCUGAAUCAGUGUGUGUGUUAGUGGAAGCGUCUGGAAAGGCGCGCGAUACAGGGUGACAGCCCCGUACACAAAAAUGCACAUACUGUGAGCUCGAUGAGUAGGGCGGGACACGUGGUAUCCUGUCUGAAUAUGGGGGGACCAUCCUCCAAGGCUAAAUACUCCUGACUGACCGAUAGUGAACCAGUACCGUGAGGGAAAGGCGAAAAGAACCCCGGCGAGGGGAGUGAAAAAGAACCUGAAACCGUGUACG
RNAcentral lists this ribosomal RNA (486 nucleotides) under Escherichia coli. Its description in RNAcentral is "bacterial LSU rRNA". It matches the Rfam family "Bacterial large subunit ribosomal RNA", at positions 39 to 563 of the family's 2925-position model. The record is from RNAcentral. Lineage: Bacteria; Pseudomonadati; Pseudomonadota; Gammaproteobacteria; Enterobacterales; Enterobacteriaceae.